GAUGAAGAACGCAGCGAAAUGCGAUAAGUAAUGUGAAUUGCAGAAUUCAGUGAAUCAUCGAAUCUUUGAACGCACAUUGCGCCCGGUAGUAUUCUGCCGGGCAUGCCUGUUCGAGCGUCAUUUCAACCAUCAAGCCCCAGCGCUUGUGUUGGGGGCCUGCGGCUGCCGCAGCCCCCUAAAAGCAGUGGCGGGCUCGCUAUCACACCGAGUGCAGUAGUUCAUCUUCUCUCCGAUCUUGUGAGGCGGGUUCCGGCCGUGAAACACCCCACUACAUUCAAGGUUGACCUCGGAUCAGGUAGGAAUACCCGCUGAACUUAAGCAUAUCAAUAAGCGGAGGA
RNAcentral lists this unclassified non-coding RNA (338 nucleotides) under soil metagenome. RNAcentral's name for it is "partial contains 5.8S ribosomal RNA, internal transcribed spacer 2, and large subunit ribosomal RNA". The stretch from base 1 to 120 matches the Rfam family "5.8S ribosomal RNA", at positions 35 to 154 of the family's 154-position model. The record is from RNAcentral.